RNAcentral lists this ribosomal RNA (465 nucleotides) under Vreelandella stevensii. RNAcentral describes it as "partial 16S ribosomal RNA". It matches the Rfam family "Bacterial small subunit ribosomal RNA", at positions 338 to 795 of the family's 1533-position model. Lineage: Bacteria; Pseudomonadati; Pseudomonadota; Gammaproteobacteria; Oceanospirillales; Halomonadaceae. The record is from RNAcentral.
CCUACGGGUGGCUGCAGUGGGGAAUAUUGGACAAUGGGCGAAAGCCUGAUCCAGCCAUGCCGCGUGUGUGAAGAAGGCCUUCGGGUUGUAAAGCACUUUCAGUGGGGAAGAAAGCCUUGGGGCUAAUACCCUCGAGGAAGGACAUCACCCACAGAAGAAGCACCGGCUAACUCCGUGCCAGCAGCCGCGGUAAUACGGAGGGUGCGAGCGUUAAUCGGAAUUACCGGGCGUAAAGCGCGCGUAGGCGGUCUGAUAAGCCGGUUGUGAAAGCCCCGGGCUCAACCUGGGAACGGCAUCCGGAACUGUCAGGCUAGAGUGCAGGAGAGGAAGGUAGAAUUCCCGGUGUAGCGGUGAAAUGCGUAGAGAUCGGGAGGAAUACCAGUGGCGAAGGCGGCCUUCUGGACUGACACUGACGCUGAGGUGCGAAAGCGUGGGUAGCAAACAGGAUUAGAUACCCGAGUAGUC